Molecule: ribosomal RNA, 530 nt
Filed under: uncultured Bacteroidota bacterium
Lineage: Bacteria; Pseudomonadati; Bacteroidota
Description: bacterial SSU rRNA
Rfam family: Bacterial small subunit ribosomal RNA
Source: RNAcentral
GGGCUCAAACGCACAGUGACCUAUGCCGAAAGGUAUACUUCUUUUAGACACUGUGCGAGGUGCUGCAUGGUUGUCGUCAGCUCGUGCCGUGAGGUGUCGGGUUAAGUCCCAUAACGAGCGCAACCCCUAUCCUUAGUUGCCAUCAGGUAAUGCUGGGGACUCUAAGGAAACUGCCUACGCAAGUAGUGAGGAAGGUGGGGAUGACGUCAAAUCAGCACGGCCCUUACGUCCAGGGCUACACACGUGCUACAAUGGCCGGUACAAAGGGCAGCCACCUGGCGACAGGGAGCUAAUCUCAAAAGCCGGCCUCAGUUCGGAUCGGAGUCUGCAACCCGACUCCGUGUAGCUGGAAUCGCUAGUAAUCGCGCAUCAGCCAUGGCGCGGUGAAUACGUUCCCGGGCCUUGUACACACCGCCCGUCAAGCCAUGGAAGCUGGGGGUGCCUGAAGUCGGUGAUCCCGCGCAAGCGGGAAGCUGCCUAGGGUAAACUUAGUAACUGGGGCUAAGUCGUAACAAGGUAACCGUAAAGGG